CUUAUUGAUGGACGAACAUCAAAGUACUUUAUAAGUACACACAACAUCUCAAUUGGUUAUGUAAUUAGUGCAUUAUUGUUAAACCCCAUGAAUAAUGCACA
Molecule: non-coding RNA, 101 nt
Filed under: Saguinus niger (black-handed tamarin)
Lineage: Eukaryota; Metazoa; Chordata; Mammalia; Primates; Cebidae
Description: Mitochondrial DNA control region secondary structure A
Rfam family: Mitochondrial DNA control region secondary structure A
Source: Rfam by way of RNAcentral